GACGAACGCUGGCGGCGUGCUUAACACAUGCAAGUCGAACGAAGAGCGAUGGAAGCUUGCUUCUAUCAAUCUUAGUGGCGAACGGGUGAGUAACGCGUAAUCAACCUGCCCUUCAGAGGGGGACAACAGUUGGAAACGACUGCUAAUACCGCAUACGAUCUAACCUCGGCAUCGAGGAUAGAUGAAAGGUGGCCUCUACAUGUAAGCUAUCACUGAAGGAGGGGAUUGCGUCUGAUUAGCUAGUUGGAGGGUAACGGCCCACCAAGGCGAUGAUCAGUAGCCGGUCUGAGAGGAUGAACGGCCACAUUGGGACUGAGACACGGCCCAGACUCCUACGGGAGGCAGCAGUGGGGAAUCUUCCGCAAUGGACGAAAGUCUGACGGAGCAACGCCGCGUGAGUGAUGACGGCCUUCGGGUUGUAAAGCUCUGUUAAUCGGGACGAAAGGCCUUCUUGCGAAUAGUGAGAAGGAUUGACGGUACCGGAAUAGAAAGCCACGGCUAACUACGUG
RNAcentral lists this ribosomal RNA (509 nucleotides) under uncultured bacterium. Its description in RNAcentral is "partial 16S ribosomal RNA". It matches the Rfam family "Bacterial small subunit ribosomal RNA", at positions 28 to 507 of the family's 1533-position model. The record is from RNAcentral.